Molecule: transfer RNA, 74 nt
Organism: Lepisosteus oculatus (spotted gar)
Lineage: Eukaryota; Metazoa; Chordata; Actinopteri; Semionotiformes; Lepisosteidae
Rfam family: tRNA
About the family: Transfer RNA (tRNA) molecules are approximately 80 nucleotides in length.
Source: Rfam
GCCGUGGUAGCUCAGACAGCAAGGGUGUCUGGCUCUUGACCAGAAGGUCCUGGGUUCAAUCCCAGGUAGGGGCA